RNAcentral lists this transfer RNA (72 nucleotides) under Ictidomys tridecemlineatus (thirteen-lined ground squirrel). Its description in RNAcentral is "Spermophilus tridecemlineatus (thirteen-lined ground squirrel) tRNA". It matches the Rfam family "tRNA". From Rfam's summary of the family: Transfer RNA (tRNA) molecules are approximately 80 nucleotides in length. Their secondary structure includes four short double-helical elements and three loops (D, anti-codon, and T loops). The record is from Rfam by way of RNAcentral. Lineage: Eukaryota; Metazoa; Chordata; Mammalia; Rodentia; Sciuridae.
UGGGCUGUGGCUCAGUGGUGGAGCGCUUGUCUAGCAUGUGUGAGGGACUGGGUUCGAUUCUCAGCACCACAU